This 484-nucleotide ribosomal RNA is filed under the name uncultured bacterium. RNAcentral's name for it is "partial 16S ribosomal RNA". It matches the Rfam family "Bacterial small subunit ribosomal RNA", at positions 30 to 507 of the family's 1533-position model. The record is from RNAcentral.
AUUGAACGCUGGCGGCAGGCCUAACACAUGCAAGUCGAGCGGAUGAAGGGAGCUUGCUCCUGGAUUCAGCGGCGGACGGGUGAGUAAUGCCUAGGAAUCUGCCUGGUAGUGGGGGAUAACGUCCGGAAACGGGCGCUAAUACCGCAUACGUCCUGAGGGAGAAAGUGGGGGAUCUUCGGACCUCACGCUCUCAGAUGAGCCUAGGUCGGAUUAGCUAGUUGGUGGGGUAAAGGCCUACCAAGGCGACGAUCCGUAACUGGUCUGAGAGGAUGAUCAGUCACACUGGAACUGAGACACGGUCCAGACUCCUAAGGGAGGCAGCAGUGGGGAAUAUUGGACAAUGGGCGAAAGCCUGAUCCAGCCAUGCCGCGUGUGUGAAGAAGGUCUUCGGAUUGUAAAGCACUUUAAGUGGGGAGGAAGGGCAGUAAGUUAAUACCUUGCUGUUUUGACGUUACCAACAGAAUAAGCACCGGCUAACUUCGUG